AGAAUCGACAACAUGAAGAAAGAGUUGCUUUCUUCCCUUCCUCUUCUUUCUUCUUGUUCGCUGUUUUAUUCUUUUUCUUUCUCUUCAUCU
RNAcentral lists this non-coding RNA (90 nucleotides) under Paramoeba aestuarina. Lineage: Eukaryota; Discosea; Flabellinia; Dactylopodida; Paramoebidae. The record is from RNAcentral.